RNAcentral lists this ribosomal RNA (501 nucleotides) under uncultured bacterium. RNAcentral describes it as "bacterial SSU rRNA". It matches the Rfam family "Bacterial small subunit ribosomal RNA", at positions 8 to 507 of the family's 1533-position model. The record is from RNAcentral.
AGAGUUUGAUCCUGGCUCAGAUUGAACGCUGGCGGAAUGCUUACACAUGCAAGUCGAACGGCAGCACGGGGCAACCUGGUGGCGAGUGGCGAACGGGUGAGUAAUACAUCGGAACGUGCCCAAUCGUGGGGGAUAACGUAGCGAAAGUUACGCUAAUACCGCAUACGAUCUACGGAUGAAAGCGGGGGAUCGCAAGACCUCGCGCGAAUGGAGCGGCCGAUGUCAGAUUAGGUAGUUGGUGGGGUAAAGGCUCACCAAGCCAACGAUCUGUAGCUGGUCUGAGAGGACGACCAGCCACACUGGAACUGAGACACGGUCCAGACUCCUACGGGAGGCAGCAGUGGGGAAUUUUGGACAAUGGGCGCAAGCCUGAUCCAGCCAUUCCGCGUGCAGGAUGAAGGCCUUCGGGUUGUAAACUGCUUUUGUACGGAACGAAACGGCGAGCUCUAAUACAGUUUGCUAAUGACGGUACCGUAAGAAUAAGCACCGGCUAACUACGUG